UACGUAGGGUGCAAGCGUUGUCCGGAAUUAUUGGGCGUAAAGAGCUCGUAGGCGGCCUGUUGCGUCCGCUGUGAAAGCCCGGGGCUUAACCCCGGGUCGGCAGUGGAUACGGGCAGGCUAGAGGUAGGUAGGGGAGAAUGGAAUUCCUGGUGUAGCGGUGGAAUGCGCAGAUAUCAGGAGGAACACCGAUGGCGAAGGCAGGUCUCUGGGCCACUACUGACGUGAGAAGCGAAAGCAUGGGGGAGCGAACAGG
RNAcentral lists this ribosomal RNA (253 nucleotides) under uncultured bacterium. Its description in RNAcentral is "partial 16S ribosomal RNA". It matches the Rfam family "Bacterial small subunit ribosomal RNA", at positions 524 to 776 of the family's 1533-position model. The record is from RNAcentral.